Molecule: ribosomal RNA, 252 nt
Filed under: uncultured bacterium
Lineage: Bacteria
Description: partial 16S ribosomal RNA
Rfam family: Bacterial small subunit ribosomal RNA
Source: RNAcentral
UACGUAGGUGGCAAGCGUUGUCCGGAAUUAUUGGGCGUAAAGCGCGCGCAGGCGGUUUCUUAAGUCUGAUGUGAAAUCCCACGGCUUAACCGUGGAAGGUCAUUGGAAACUGGGAGACUUGAGUGCAGAAGAGAAGAGCGGAAUUCCACGUGUAGCGGUGAAAUGCGUAGAGAUGUGGAGGAACACCAGUGGCGAAGGCGGCUCUUUGGUCUGUAACUGACGCUGAGGCGCGAAAGCGUGGGGAGUCAAACA